CUCUCUCAGUUAUACACAUCAAUAACCAUGAAAAGGUAGACUCUCUCUCUCUCAGUUAUACACAUCAACAACCAUGAAAAGGUAGACUCUCUCUCUCAGUUAUACACAUCAAUAACCAUGAAAAGGUAGACUCUCUCUCUCAGUUAUACACAUCAACAACCAUGAAAAGGUAGACUCUCUCUCUCCCUCAGUUAUACACAUCAAUAACCAUGAAAAGGUAGACUCUCUCUCUCUCAGUUAUACACAUCAAUAACCAUGAAAAGGUAGACUCUCUCUCUCAGUUAUACACAUCAACAACCAUGAAAAGGUAGACUCUCUCUCUCUCAGUUAUACACAUCAACAACCAUGAAAAGGUAGACUCUCUCUCUCAGUUAUACACAUCAAUAACCAUGAAAAGGUAGACUCUCUCUCUCUCUCAGUUAUACACAUCAAUAACCAUGAAAAG
RNAcentral lists this long non-coding RNA (445 nucleotides) under Salmo salar (Atlantic salmon). RNAcentral describes it as "lncRNA (ENSSSAG00000104411.1, ENSSSAG00000116189.1)". The record is from RNAcentral. Lineage: Eukaryota; Metazoa; Chordata; Actinopteri; Salmoniformes; Salmonidae.